AAAAAUAGAUGGUAAAUGUUUUUAUUUUUUAUUCCCUUCGAGAAUCUAUCUCUAAUUAGUGAUUUGGACAUUAGCUGUUCCUUCUAGCGUAAGGGAUUCAUAUAAAUAAUAUAAAUAUAUAGGUGCAGGAGUGGCUGUGUGGUAAGUAGC
This is a long non-coding RNA of Octopus sinensis (East Asian common octopus), 150 nucleotides long. RefSeq lists it as uncharacterized. The transcript is spliced from 3 exons. NCBI's taxonomy places the organism in Eukaryota, Metazoa, Mollusca, Cephalopoda, Octopoda, Octopodidae. The record is from RefSeq and is a predicted model, not a curated record.